UACGGAGGAUCCAAGCGUUAUCCGGAUUUAUUGGGUUUAAAGGGUGCGUAGGCGGCUUAUUAAGUCAGGGGUGAAAGACGGUGGCUCAACCAUCGCAGUGCCCUUGAUACUGAUGAGCUUGAAUACACUUGAGGUAGGCGGAAUGUGACAAGUAGCGGUGAAAUGCAUAGAUAUGUCACAGAACACCAAUUGCGAAGGCAGCUUACUAAGGUGCAAUUGACGCUGAGGCACGAAAAGCGUGGGGGAUCAAACAGG
Molecule: ribosomal RNA, 255 nt
Filed under: uncultured bacterium
Lineage: Bacteria
Description: partial 16S ribosomal RNA
Rfam family: Bacterial small subunit ribosomal RNA
Source: RNAcentral